GACGAACGCUGGCGGCGUGCCUAAUACAUGCAAGUUGAGCGCUGAAGGUUGGUACUUGUACCAACUGGAUGAGCAGCGAACGGGUGAGUAACGCGUGGGGAAUCUGCCUUUGAGCGGGGGACAACAUUUGGAAACGAAUGCUAAUACCGCAUAAAAACUUUAAACACAAGAUUUAAGUUUGAAAGAUGCAAUUGCAUCACUCAAAGAUGAUCCCGCGUUGGAUUAGCUAGUUGGUGAGGUAAAGGCUCACCAAGGCGAUGAUACAUAGCCGACCUGAGAGGGUGAUCGGCCACAUUGGGACUGAGACACGGCCCAAACUCCUACGGGAGGCAGCAGUAGGGAAUCUUCGGCCAUGGACGAAAGUCUGACCGAGCAACGCCGCGUGAGUGAAGAAGGUUUUCGGAUCGGAAAACUCGGUUGGUAGAGAAGAACGUUGGUGAGAGUGGAAAGCUCAUCAAGUGACGGUAACUACACAGAAAGGGACGGCUAACUACGUG
Molecule: ribosomal RNA, 497 nt
Filed under: uncultured bacterium
Lineage: Bacteria
Description: partial 16S ribosomal RNA
Rfam family: Bacterial small subunit ribosomal RNA
Source: RNAcentral